AGCGCGGGGCUGGCGGGGCAGGUGCUGCGGCAAGCGCUACCUGUGCGCCCACCGCGGAGAUCUGGCCCCACGGCACCCGCGGGCGGGCCGCCUAGUUAGAGCGCCAAGGGCGUUCCCGCACCCAGCUAGUGUGGUUUGUGCCCCCGCGGACUGCGGACCGGUCGCCGCAGCUUGGCAGCCCAGGCACCCGCACGACUCCGGUGACUUGCUGGGCUUCCAGGUAGCGGCAAGGCACAGCCUGAAGCUGGCCCAUCUGACCUUUGAGCCUGGCCUCUCUGCCGCCAGGAAAGGAGGCAUUCUCUCUGGGUCUCACGGAAGCAGUGAGCAGACUCACCCCCAGGCCUGACCGUCCGAGGGAAUGGUGGCUCCACACAUGGACCAUACACACCCUGGCCUCUUCACCUGCACAUUUCUCAUCAGCUAGACACGGUGAAGAGUAAGCUCUGGUGAUGCCUAAGAGAUUCUAACAGAUUGCCAGACAGACAUCAGACAAGGAAAGACAAAAUCCUGCCAAGACACACGCGGGACUACUGAUCCAUCGGAGUUCAGGACAACCUUCAAGAUGAGAAAACAGAAGCAAGGAAAAGAAGUGACUUCCUCAUCCAUCGUUCACUUUUCCAACUCCAGCCUCCAGCCUCAAUUCAGGGCAGAGCUUCCAGUCAGUGUUAAUAAAU
Ailuropoda melanoleuca (giant panda) is the source of this 674-nucleotide long non-coding RNA. RefSeq lists it as uncharacterized. Lineage: Eukaryota; Metazoa; Chordata; Mammalia; Carnivora; Ursidae. The record is from RefSeq and is a predicted model, not a curated record. The transcript is spliced from 3 exons.